This 127-nucleotide small RNA is filed under the name Marmota monax (woodchuck). Lineage: Eukaryota; Metazoa; Chordata; Mammalia; Rodentia; Sciuridae. The record is from RNAcentral.
GCCUGGCUGGGUGAUGCAUGCCUGUAAUCCUAGUGGCUUGGGAGGCUGAGGCAGGAGGAUUGUGAGUUCAAAGCCAGACUCAGCAACUUAGUGAGGCCCUCAGCAACUUAACAAGACCCUGUCUCUA